UAGCAUCAUUCUGUGGGACUAGGUUACA
Molecule: non-coding RNA, 28 nt
Filed under: Rattus norvegicus (Norway rat)
Lineage: Eukaryota; Metazoa; Chordata; Mammalia; Rodentia; Muridae
Source: RNAcentral